RNAcentral lists this unclassified non-coding RNA (1398 nucleotides) under Hevea brasiliensis (rubber tree). The record is from RNAcentral. Lineage: Eukaryota; Viridiplantae; Streptophyta; Magnoliopsida; Malpighiales; Euphorbiaceae.
AUAUUAUUUAAUGUUUUAAACAACAAUAUAUAGCAAGCACAUACUUUAUAAAUUAUAUUACAUUGCUUAGAAACGUGAAAGUAUUUAACUCAAACAUUUGCUUCAAAUUGAAAGGUACAAUCUGCAGAAGUAUAAAUAGUAAUAAUAGAUAACAUUAUUAUUCUUAUUCUUAGAUCUUGUAACGGGACAAUGCAGAAGUUCCAUCUAGGCCUCUGUUAUGGAGGUAACUAGUGUGGUCUUUCACUGUGGUUGCGCGAUAUUUUGGAGGAUUAUCUUCUGAUAACAAUUCAGUUAUCGGUCCAUAAAGCUUGGAAGAUUGAUAUGGACUUUCACCGAAGAAGCACGUGAUUGACAUUCUUGAUCCAACAUUGUUUGAGAUUGCUCUGUGCUCGACACUUAAGUACUUGUCAUUUGACAAGAGCUGCAGAAAAUCUCCAAUAUUCACCACUAGAGAACCGGGUGUAGGAGGAACAUCAACCCAAUGAUUCUGGUGAAGAACUUGGAGCCCUCCCAUAUCAUCUUGUAGAAGGAUCGUUACAAAACCAAUAUCGGUAUGUUGAAUGGUGCCCAUGGUGAGUUCUGGCUGAGGACAUGGUGGGUAGUAGUUGCAAGAACAGAAAAGAUGAAAACAAUCCAUAUAAUCUUUGAGAUAACUACGAUCGAGACCGAGACCUUCAGACAAUAAUUCAAGUAAAGUGAAUCCCAGUUUCUUCACAUCCUUGGAGAAGUCUAUUAAUGACUCCCCGCAUGGAGUUGGAAAUUCUUGUAGACUGGGAGGAUUCGGAGCCAUGUAACAGAAAAUCGUGUCUCUCCAACUUGCAGCUGGAACAGAAGAUUUAUACAAAUCAAGAUUGCUAAUAUAAACCACUUUUUUCGCAGUAUCUCGAGUGUAAUACUGUUUCUUAACCUCGUUAUCUUGCUCAAAGAACUGUCGUGUUCCUUGCAACGUUCUGUCCAAGACGGAUGUUGGAAUCCCAUGAUUAACCACUUGGAAAAAACCCCAUUUCUCCGAUGCAUCUCGAACUUUGUCCACUAUCUCCUUAUGCUUAAUCGGAUCCUCAUCGAUACCUUGAAGGUCUAUCACUGGAAAAACGAAAUGUGUUUCACAUUUUUUAGCCCUGUCUUUUGGCGGUAGAACGAAUAUUUGAGGUACUUUAGUAAUUCCAGAAUCAACAAGUCCUUUAACACCGGCCUUAGUAUCAUCAAACGCUUUUAAUUCACUCAUUUUGUCAUAACUCUCCUCAACUCUAGGGCUUUCCAUCUUUUUUGCACUGUGAAUGAUUAGAAUAAUUUCUAAAAAUCUCAAUAUGAGGAUGCCAUAUUUAUAAUAGAAUAAAAUAAAAUGUGAACAAAGGAAGAGAUAAAGUAGUUCACUUUUUGAAAUCUAAGAGAGACGCG